CGUUCCCGGGCCUUGUACACACCGCCCGUCAAGUCACGAAAGUUGGUAACACCCGAAGCCGGUGACCUAACCCCUUGUGGGAGGGAGCUGUCGAAGGUGGGACUGGCGAUUGGGACU
RNAcentral lists this ribosomal RNA (117 nucleotides) under uncultured bacterium. RNAcentral describes it as "partial 16S ribosomal RNA". It matches the Rfam family "Bacterial small subunit ribosomal RNA", at positions 1369 to 1482 of the family's 1533-position model. The record is from RNAcentral.